GUAGUCAUAUGCUUGUCUCAAAGAUUAAGCCAUGCAUGUCUAAGUAUAAGCAAUCUAUACAGUGAAACUGCGAAUGGCUCAUUAAAUCAGUUAUCGUUUAUUUGAUAGUACCUUACUACUUGGAUAACCGUGGUAAUUCUAGAGCUAAUACAUGCUAAAAACCUCGACUUCGGAAGGGGUGUAUUUAUUAGAUAAAAAACCAAUGCCCUUCGGGGCUCCUUGGUGAUUCAUGAUAACUUAACGAAUCGCAUGGCCUUGUGCCGGCGAUGGUUCAUUCAAAUUUCUGCCCUAUCAACUUUCGAUGGUAGGAUAGUGGCCUACCAUGGUUUCAACGGGUAACGGGGAAU
RNAcentral lists this ribosomal RNA (347 nucleotides) under uncultured fungus. RNAcentral's name for it is "SSU rRNA". It matches the Rfam family "Eukaryotic small subunit ribosomal RNA", at positions 20 to 370 of the family's 1831-position model. Lineage: Eukaryota; Fungi. The record is from RNAcentral.